RNAcentral lists this long non-coding RNA (1297 nucleotides) under Apteryx owenii (little spotted kiwi). Its description in RNAcentral is "lncRNA (ENSAOWG00000017756.1)". Lineage: Eukaryota; Metazoa; Chordata; Aves; Apterygiformes; Apterygidae. The record is from RNAcentral.
GGGGGCGUCGUCCGCGGGGGGGGGGGGGGGGGGAGAGACAGGGCCCGAGGGCCGCGAGGCCGGGGCCGGGGCCGGUUUUGGUCUCUGCCGGUUCCUGUCUCCGCCGGUUCCUGCUGUCCCGUUUGGGUCCCCGGCAGCAGCCCCGGCGGGGCGGAGCCGCCCGGCGGGGGGGGGGGGAAGGCGUUCCCCCUCAGAGAGGCGCCGUCGCUGGCGGCGGCAGGUGUUUGCCGUCGGGAGGGCCCGAGAGCAGCUGCCAUUUGUCUGCAGAAAAGCAAGUUUGCGUUUUUGAAGAUUAUGUCAGAAGACUGGGAGAAGAGUAAGCCAAAGCGAGCUCACUUAGUUGGUGAGGAGCACAAAUCAACAAGAAGAAAAACGUAGCAGUGAAAUCAAGCAAAACCAGAUUUCUGCCAAAAUAAUCAAUGAAGUGGAAAAGAAGGAUUCAGACAUAUGAAUUUUAUUUAGAGACUGACUGCGUGAGAAAUCUGUACAGAGAGUCUGGUUUCUCCACACUGCUAAAAUGCAACAUUCUUUGUUCUGCUUCAGUUCAUACUGCACAAAUGUAGUGAUGCAGUCAUAGGAUAUAACAAUUUUACUGUAAUUCAUUAGUAAUAAUUGUUUCUUAUUCUCCCCUUCAAUGGAUUUCAAAGGCUUCCCUUUUUUUCUCUUGUGCCAUAUAUUGUUUUACAGCUUCUAAUAUAUCUUCACAUUUGCCAUGCACAAAAGGCUUUAGACUGUUUUUUAAGAUUGUCCCCACCUUCAAGGAGACAUUCUGCGCAUAAUUCUCCAGUGUUCAUGAUUGCUUGUACUAUCUUCCCUCAUAUUAAGCAGUAUCUUCAGACAACUAAAUCAUCCGCUUUCUUGGAAAAAAGUGAUACAAAAAUAUUCUGAACUUUUAAAAAUAGUUUAAUGGGAGAAAGUCAGAAAACAGCCCCAGUAACAAACCAUCUCUACAGGCACCUGAAAUGCUUCACAGAGCACCCCUUGUCCAUAAACUAAAUUUUGGAACCUUGUUGUGUAUAGGACCACACAGAGCCCUGUCCUAAGAGCUCAUCACUAGUAAUAAGCAUGUUAUUCAGAGCAGUAUGGUUUUACAGUACUGAGCAAAGUAAAAUUCUCUACCUUCUCUAAAUAAUGAUUUUUAUCUAUGCUUUGGUUCAUGAACUGUUCUCAGUUCUUUCCGUGUAAAAAUCAAGCUCCUGAUCUGCCAUUGGACUAGCAGAUUUUAGAAGCAAUGUAUUCUAUAUGCAAAUGUAGUGAAUGUAAAUAGAAGCAAUAAAUAAAGCUGGGAGAAUUGUCA